Molecule: long non-coding RNA, 1847 nt
Filed under: Anneissia japonica
Lineage: Eukaryota; Metazoa; Echinodermata; Crinoidea; Comatulida; Comatulidae
Description: uncharacterized LOC117122931
Source: RNAcentral
CUUUCGCUUCAUGAGGGCGAUUUUAACUUGAUUACAUCAGGGUUAGGGCAUCAAGGAAAUGAUCAGAGCUCGUGUCCAAAGUUUGCCAAACUCCUUUUAGCUUUAGUAAAAAAAUAUGGCAACCAGUUGAAUGCCAAUCAUGUGACAACCCUGAAAAAAUCUCUGGACUUAAAUAAAACGUUCCUUAAAAAAGCAGUACUUUCAGCUAUUGAUCGGCUUCAACUAUGACAAACAUACUGAAGAUUUGAAUACACUGUUUGGCUAUUUUAUUACAUAAUAAAAAUAUAGAGACUGUUGAUUUAUAAGUGGUUGGUAUCACAACAUUUCUCAGCAAACCACAAAGAAAAGAAAGUACAGGUUUUACAAAUACAACAAGAACACUAAGUGAGGAAUAGAGAAAGUAGAACAGGUUAGGCUAACAAGUAAGUCUUAAGAAAUUCCUUUCACUGCACAUUCUUCUAGAUCAAUAUGCACUCAUAAAUUAUGCAAUAUUUAAUCCCAAAAGAUGUGAUGCUUACAGUGUAUUGUUGGUUGUUGUUCUCAAACAACAUACCGGUAGACUUGAGCGAGUCGAGUGGUACAGCAAGGACAGUGCGAUGAUGACUAAUAAUUCUUUGCCUCUGCAAUGACUGAGAAUAUAGCGAUGACCCGUAUAACAAGGCCAUUGAAUUGACGGUAUAUCCCGAUGGACAGGUAGAAAUGACGUCACCUCAUUGGGUACAUGCUUUGUAGAAGAGGUUGGCUCAACGGUUGUGGCUCAGAAUUGCAACCUUGAGGUCGGGGGCUUGAAACACUUGCUCUGCGAUUCGCUAGUGUCCUUUAGGCAAGACACCAUAUCUACGUUUGUUUCUUUCUACCCAGGAGGAGUAUAAAUGGGUGCCAGCAUAUAUGCUGGGAAGGUAAAACAGACUGUAGUGCAGUGCAGUGGAGAAAACCCCACAGCCUUGCACAAUCUGGCUCAAACCCCAAGGAAAGAGAGACUGGGACUGCAGCCUGUGAGCCCAGAGGUUCAGGUUUCGACCUUUACCAGCGAAUAAAGAAGAAGACCCACUCUAUCGAUGAACCUGUCAUUGUGGCUGAAGACGACUUAAAUCCAGAUACUUCCGAUAGUGUUGAGUGAUCAGACACUAGUUCUGUUGAAAACUAGGUGUACUGGUUAUAUCGUAAUGUUGAAUUGGAAUCGUUAAAUAAAAUUUUAAAAAUACAAAAAAAAGAAUGAAAAAAAAAGAUCGGCGUUCUAUAGUUGUUUUAUAUUUAUAAACAAAAUCUGUGAUUUACACAUAUAUGGGCCAUAUAUGGGCAUGAUAAUGUUAUAUCACACCCAUAUAGGUAAAUUCAACAUGUUUGUCACAUAAUUACUGAUAAUGCUGUCAAAGCUUAGUUAAUAAAAAAGAAUAACUAUUAUAUUUUACCUGCCUGAUGUGUUAUACUAAAUGCUCCGUACGUUCCCGAAUACUUGCGAAAAAAUCUCACAAGCGAUUCAGGUGGGAAUUGAACCAAUGACCUCCAGAAAACUGGCUUGGCGCCAUAACUACUAGACCACUGACCUUGUGCUUAAUGGCUAGUGUUGCAUCUCCAAGUAGUAGUGGGUACUACAAUGAUAUUUGAUGGUGUUUUGCAUCAGGAGAAUUAUAAUCUGGUUCUUGCAUGCAUCAACCGUAGCAUGAAUGGGCUUUCCUACUAAGCACCGCCCUUAAAUGAUGUUAAAGUCUUACAAAACGAGUGUGUAAAAACAUACGCAGGCACGUAAGUUUGUUGGUCAACGUGUGUGUUAACACUAACAUUUUAGAUCAUAGAAAAACAGUGAGUACAUCUUAUUUGGAUUAAACGAAAUUUUAUAAACAAUA